GACGAACGCUGGCGGCGUGCCUAAUACAUGCAAGUAGAACGCACAGUUUAUACCGUAGCUUGCUACACCAUAGACUGUGAGUUGCGAACGGGUGAGUAACGCGUAGGUAACCUGCCUGGUAGCGGGGGAUAACUAUUGGAAACGAUAGCUAAUACCGCAUAAUAUUGAUUAUUGCAUGAUAAUUGAUUGAAAGAUGCUAUUGCAUCACUACCAGAUGGACCUGCGUUGUAUUAGCUAGUAGGUGAGGUAACGGCUCACCUAGGCGACGAUACAUAGCCGACAUGCGAGGGUGGUCGGCCACACUGGGACUGAGACAGGGCCCAGACGCAUACGGGAGGCAGCAGUAGGGAAUCGUCGGCAAUGGACGAAAGUCUGAGCGAGCAACGCCGCGUGAGUGAAGAAGGUUGUCGGAUCGUAAAGCUCUGUUGUAAGAGAAGAACGGGUGUGAGAGUGGAAAGUUCACACUGUGACGGUAACUUACCAGAAAGGGACGGCUAACUACGUG
Molecule: ribosomal RNA, 505 nt
Filed under: uncultured bacterium
Lineage: Bacteria
Description: partial 16S ribosomal RNA
Rfam family: Bacterial small subunit ribosomal RNA
Source: RNAcentral